RNAcentral lists this transfer RNA (85 nucleotides) under Felis catus (domestic cat). It matches the Rfam family "tRNA". Rfam says of the family: Transfer RNA (tRNA) molecules are approximately 80 nucleotides in length. RNAcentral also lists the same sequence under 1 other name. Lineage: Eukaryota; Metazoa; Chordata; Mammalia; Carnivora; Felidae. The record is from Rfam by way of RNAcentral.
GCCUGGGUGGCUCAGUCGGUUAAGCACCCGAGUUCGGCUCAGGUCGUGAUCUCACAGUUUGUGGGUUCGAGCCCCACAUCAGGCU